RNAcentral lists this ribosomal RNA (253 nucleotides) under uncultured bacterium. RNAcentral describes it as "partial 16S ribosomal RNA". It matches the Rfam family "Bacterial small subunit ribosomal RNA", at positions 524 to 776 of the family's 1533-position model. The record is from RNAcentral.
UACGAACCGUACAAACGUUAUUCGGAAUCACUGGGCUUAAAGGGUGCGUAGGCGGCCAUGUAAGUGAGGUGUGAAAUCCCUCGGCUCAACCGAGGAACUGCGCUUCAUACUGCAUGGCUUGAGGGAGACAGGGGUAAGCGGAACUGAUGGUGGAGCGGUGAAAUGCGUUGAUAUCAUCAGGAACACCGGUGGCGAAAGCGGCUUACUGGGUCUCUUCUGACGCUGAGGUACGAAAGCGUGGGGAGCGAACAGG